GACGAACGCUGGCGGCGUGCUUAAUACAUGCAAGUCGAACGGAAAGGCGAGGCUCUUGUGCCGUGCUCGAUUGGCGCGCAGGUGAGUGACACGUGAGUAACAUGCACUUGACUUUGGGGUAACUUCAGGAAACUGGGGCUCAUACCCGGUAGGAGCUCCUGCUGCAUGGUGGGGGUUGGAAAGUUUCGGCGGUUGGGGCUGGUCUCGCGGCUUAUCCGCUUGUUGGUCGGGUAGUGGCUUACCAAGUGUUUGACGGGUAGCCGGCCUGAGAGGGGGACCGGCGUCAUGGGGACUGAGAGACGGAGCAGACUCCUACGGGCCGCAGAAGGCGGGAGUAUUGCACAGUGGGCGGAAGCCUGUUGCAGCGACGCCGCGUUCGGGAUGACCGCCUUCGGGUUGUAAACCGCUGUCUACUGUGACGAAGCGUGAUUGACGGUAAUGGGUAAGGAAGCACCGGCUAACUACGUG
This 468-nucleotide ribosomal RNA is filed under the name uncultured bacterium. Its description in RNAcentral is "partial 16S ribosomal RNA". It matches the Rfam family "Bacterial small subunit ribosomal RNA", at positions 28 to 507 of the family's 1533-position model. The record is from RNAcentral.